GGAUGGGCCCGCGCCCGAUUAGCUAGUUGGUGAGGUAACGGCUCACCAAGGCGACGAUCGGUAACCGGCCUGAGAGGGCGAUCGGUCACACCGGAACUGAGACACGGUCCGGACUCCUACGGGAGGCAGCAGUGGGGAAUCUUGCGCAAUGGGCGAAAGCCUGACGCAGCAACGCCGCGUGGAGGAUGAAGGCCCUUGGGUUGUAAACUCCUGUCGGCUGGGAAGAAAUCGUUCGGGGCUCAUACCCCCGGACGUUGACUGUACCAGCAAAGGAAGCCCCGGCUAACUCUGUGCCAGCAGCCGCGGUAAUACAGAGGGGGCCAGCGUUAUUCGGAAUUAUUGGGCGUAAAGGGCGCGUAGGCGGCCACGCGUGUCUUCCGUGAAAUCCCUCGGCUUAACUGAGGACGUGCGGAAGAAGCUGCGAGGCUUGAGUCCGGGAGAGGGGGGUGGAAUUCCCAGUGUAGCGGUGAAAUGCGUAGAUAUUGGGAGGAACACCGGUGGCGAAGGCGGCCCCCUGGACCGGUACUGACGCUGAUGCGCGAAAGCGUGGGGAGCAAACGGGAUUAGAUACCCCGGUAGUCCACGCCGUAAACGAUGGGCACUUGGUGUCGCGGGUAUCGACCCCUGCGGUGCCGAAGCUAACGCAUUAAGUGCCCCGCCUGGGGAGUACGGUCGCAAGGCUGAAACUCAGAGGAAUUGACGGGGGCCCGCACAAGCGGGUGGAGCAGGUGGGUCCAUUCGAAGCAACG
This 749-nucleotide ribosomal RNA is filed under the name uncultured bacterium. RNAcentral describes it as "bacterial SSU rRNA". It matches the Rfam family "Bacterial small subunit ribosomal RNA", at positions 223 to 961 of the family's 1533-position model. The record is from RNAcentral.